This 70-nucleotide transfer RNA is filed under the name Tigriopus californicus. Its description in RNAcentral is "tRNA-Ala for anticodon UGC". It matches the Rfam family "tRNA". Rfam says of the family: Transfer RNA (tRNA) molecules are approximately 80 nucleotides in length. The record is from Rfam by way of RNAcentral. Lineage: Eukaryota; Metazoa; Arthropoda; Copepoda; Harpacticoida; Harpacticidae.
GGGGAUGUAGCGCAGUGGUAGCGCGUUCGCUUUGCAUGUGAAAGGCCCCGGUUCACCCCCGGCAUCUCCA